AUUGAACGCUGGCGGCAUGCUUUACACAUGCAAGUCGAACGGCAGCGCGGGCUUCGGCCUGGCGGCGAGUGGCGAACGGGUGAGUAAUACAUCGGAACGUGCCCAGUAGUGGGGGAUAGCUCGGCGAAAGCCGGAUUAAUACCGCAUACGACCUGAGGGUGAAAGCGGGGGAUCUUCGGACCUCGCGCUAUUGGAGCGGCCGAUGGCAGAUUAGCUAGUUGGUGGGGUAAAGGCCUACCAAGGCGACGAUCUGUAGCUGGUCUGAGAGGACGACCAGCCACACUGGGACUGAGACACGGCCCAGACUCCUACGGGAGGCAGCAGUGGGGAAUUUUGGACAAUGGGCGAAAGCCUGAUCCAGCAAUGCCGCGUGUGUGAUGAAGGCAUUCGGGUUGUAAAGCACUUUUGGCGGGAACGAAAAGGACUGUGCCAAUACCACGGUUCGAUGACGGUACCCGCAGAAUAAGCACCGGCUAACUACGU
Molecule: ribosomal RNA, 483 nt
Filed under: uncultured bacterium
Lineage: Bacteria
Description: partial 16S ribosomal RNA
Rfam family: Bacterial small subunit ribosomal RNA
Source: RNAcentral